This 105-nucleotide ribosomal RNA is filed under the name Escherichia coli. Its description in RNAcentral is "partial 16S ribosomal RNA". The stretch from base 18 to 105 matches the Rfam family "Bacterial small subunit ribosomal RNA", at positions 1 to 89 of the family's 1533-position model. The record is from RNAcentral. Lineage: Bacteria; Pseudomonadati; Pseudomonadota; Gammaproteobacteria; Enterobacterales; Enterobacteriaceae.
UUGAGCAUCAAACUUUUAAAUUGAAGAGUUUGAUCAUGGCUCAGAUUGAACGCUGGCGGCAGGCCUAACACAUGCAAGUCGAACGGUAACAGGAAGCAGCUUGCU